Molecule: non-coding RNA, 214 nt
Filed under: Erinaceus europaeus (western European hedgehog)
Lineage: Eukaryota; Metazoa; Chordata; Mammalia; Eulipotyphla; Erinaceidae
Description: Eukaryotic large subunit ribosomal RNA
Rfam family: Eukaryotic large subunit ribosomal RNA
Source: Rfam by way of RNAcentral
UGCCUCUAAAUCAGAAUGCCGCCCAGGCAGAACAAUACACCUGUCAAACGGUAACGCAGGUGUCCUAAGGCGAGCUCAGGGAGGACAGAAACCUCCCUUGGAGCAGAAGGGCAAAAGCUCGCUUGAUCUUGAUUUUCAGUGGGAAUACAGACUAUGAAAGCGGGGCCUCAUGAUCCUUCUGACCUUUGGGGUUUUAAGCAGGAGGUGUCAGAAA